AGUGAUUUUGAAAGGCUAUGGCUUCCAUAAUGCAAAGAGGGUGGACCAGAUCAUUUGCAGAUUCAAGACUGCUGCCAAGAAUGUCAUCAAUGAGCGUGCAAUCAGGAUGAACAUGAACACUAUAAUUUGUCCUAUGCCGCAGAAACUGAAGCCUAAACAGAGCAUCUCUGUGGAAGUCAGCCUGAACAAUGGGCAGAACUUUCUCUUCCGCAGCAUCAGAGUGCCGGUCAACCCACCCUGCAAUCGACCUACACCCCCACCACCGACAACCACAACGACUACGACCACUACCACGAC
Molecule: long non-coding RNA, 297 nt
Organism: Octodon degus (degu)
Lineage: Eukaryota; Metazoa; Chordata; Mammalia; Rodentia; Octodontidae
Exons: 4
Source: RefSeq, a predicted model, not a curated record